This 449-nucleotide ribosomal RNA is filed under the name uncultured bacterium. Its description in RNAcentral is "partial 16S ribosomal RNA". It matches the Rfam family "Bacterial small subunit ribosomal RNA", at positions 29 to 523 of the family's 1533-position model. The record is from RNAcentral.
AACGAACGCUGGCGGCAUGCCUAACACAUGCAAGUCGAACGAGAUCUUCGGGUCUAGUGGCGCACGGGUGCGUAACGCGUGGGAAUCUGCCCUUUGGUUCGGAAUAACAGUUGGAAACGACUGCUAAUACCGGAUGAUGACGAAAGUCCAAAGAUUUAUCGCCAGAGGAUGAGCCCGCGUAGGAUUAGCUAGUUGGUGUGGUAAAGGCGCACCAAGGCGACGAUCCUUAGCUGGUCUGAGAGGAUGAUCAGCGACCCUGGGACUGAGACACGGCCCAGACUAGUACGGGAGGCAGCGGUGGGGAAUAUUGGACAAUGGGCGAAAGCCUGAUCCAGAGAUGCCGCGUGAGUGAUGAAGGCCUUAGAGUUGUAAAGCUCUUUUACCCGGGAUGAUAAUGACAGUACCGGGAGAAUAAGCACCGGCUAACUCCGUGCCAGCCGCCGCCGUAA